ACCCCAUUCAUAGAGGCAUUAACCCUCUCCUUUUUA
RNAcentral lists this transfer RNA (36 nucleotides) under Xenocatantops brachycerus. RNAcentral's name for it is "partial tRNA-Met". RNAcentral also lists the same sequence under 1 other name. Lineage: Eukaryota; Metazoa; Arthropoda; Insecta; Orthoptera; Acrididae. The record is from RNAcentral.